This is a long non-coding RNA of Mesocricetus auratus (golden hamster), 3969 nucleotides long. RefSeq lists it as uncharacterized. The transcript is spliced from 3 exons. NCBI's taxonomy places the organism in Eukaryota, Metazoa, Chordata, Mammalia, Rodentia, Cricetidae. The record is from RefSeq and is a predicted model, not a curated record.
AGAUGGAGAAGUCUUAUCUCCUUCACCUCCUCCCUUCCUGCCUCCCCUCGCCGGCCCAGGCACUCAGUCCCAGCUCCCUUCCCCCCUGCUCUGAGGACACCCCCUGCUUGGUGAGGCACGGUCCUGUCCUCUCUUCUGACACAGCGGAGCCUAUGCUCUGGGGGGACUGGCUGAGUCUCCAGAGACAAAAGCCCCAGGGCACCGGGAGCCAGCUUUCACAUCCCCGCCUGUAGGACACCAUCUUCAUGUGGGGCUAACCCUGCGUUGUGAAGAGAGACCUGGACAAGAAAAUCUCUCGCUCCCGGAAGGUAUCUGUGAUGGUGUCGAUGAGAAAUGUCCCCCAUAGCUUCGGGUGUUUAGAUAUUUGGUCCUCCGUCAGUGACACUGUUUGGAGAAGUUUAGGAGGCAUGACAUUGCUGCAAGAGUUCAAGAUGUGACUCAGUUUCCUGCUCCUGCUAUGUUCCCUCUGCCGUUAUGGGCUUUAACUCUCUGGAAGUUUGGACGCCCUGCUCUGCCCAGCUUGGACACUAUUUCUGAAGAGGACAGAGGGACCUCACUCUGGGCUUUGCCAGCCUCUGGAUGUCCCCGUCACCCCCCCCCCCCCACCAGCAGAGCUCAGCUCCACUCAGCUCCAGGGGCUCCUCGAGGGCCACCUCUCUCCCGCCCCCUCCAGCACCUGGUUGGGUUUAGGUUCACCAUCUGCCCAUGGGAUCUGUGGCCUGGCUCCCUAGCCAAACUGUGAACACUUGGAAUGGGACUCCCUUUUUUUUGUCAGGAUCUGCACCAGGAGCCAUCCUAUGCCCAUGCUGGGUCCAGGUGCACCCCAGAUGACUGAUAAGUUAAUUAGACACCAUUUGCCCCACUGGAAUCCAUAUUCUUUCAUUUAUUUAUUUAACUUUUUUAAUUUUUAGGAAGGGUCUCAUUAUGUAGCCCCUGGAUAACCCAGAACUCUCUGUGUAGCCCUGGCUAGCCUGGAACUCUCUGUGUAGCCCUGGGUAGCCUGGAAUUCUCCGUGUAGACCUAGCCUUGAACUUACUUGUAGGGACAUUGCUGUCUCUGCCUCCUGGGUGCUGGGUUAGAUCUGCAGCGUGUCCACUGGCACCCCUUUUUGAAGCCAGACUAGGCACCUAUGCUCUCCUUCCGAGACCACCCACGUGACUCCUCAUGCCGUUGAGAAUGAGAUGCCUGCAAACCCCAAACCUGAGUGACGAGAAGCUUCCACAGCACGGAGCCCAACCACUCAUGUCUGGCCCCUUUUCCACAUACUCCCGGGGACAGCCCCUUGGAAGGAUGCUCCAAAAAUCGGAUGCAGACAAAGCAUUUGGGUGAACAUGGAGGAGGGUUCCAGAACAAACCUUUCUCUCCCUCUGCCUUUUGACCCCAUUUGCCCCAUGUUUCAUUGACCAGGCUUUCCGGCCGUCUCUCUCCCCAAUGGCAACCUCUCUGCUCUAGAAUGAAGCCGCUGAACUUGGACAAAUGUCACAAUGCCUAUGCCAUGACUUGCCCCAAAACACAAGGCUCUUAACCAGGAGUGAUUUCACUUCAGGCAGCAUUUGGCAGCAUAUGGGAAUGUGUUAACUCCACAAGUGCUGGGGUAGGCUGUUUCUGAUUUCGUGAGUACACUCCAGAGAUGCUCACAGACAUCCUUAUACAGGUCAGCACCCCCCCCCCAGGAAAACAUUCUCCAUCGCCAAAUGUCAGUCCUAUGCCAAGUACAACUGAUCUGUCUAGUUUGAGCCGUGAUUUGCCGCCUCGCACUCCUCAGUGCCUGGUCACUGCAAACACCGCCCAAGGGAAAUGAAGAACGGAGGGGCCAAAACAUUCCUGUCACCCUUGCUGUGACUGCACAGGGAAGCCAGGAGGCCUGGUGGUCUGGGGAACCAGUCUGCAGCGAGGCCUCCCUUUGAAACCAUCAGGUACAGGAAGGCCCUGCAUGAAAGGCUGGUGAUGAGAGACAUGUAAAGGGAGCACUUUUGUUUCUAAGCUUAGGGAGCAGGGUGGAGAAUGUCUUCACGGAGCCAAACCACACACGCCUCUAUUGGGGCGUGAAAAACACUCGAAUGAAGGCAGAAUAGCGCACCUGCCUCCACUUGCCAUGCGCGCAGCACACACACAGGGCCGCAGGAGCGAAAUGGGAAAGUGUAUUUACUUAGUGGGAACUCUCAAAUAAUGGCCCUGCCUGCCCCGGCAGGUAAGACUUGCGGUUUCAGUUGCACUUGGUCUGUUUUCAACACAGGAUAUCUCCGUUUGACAGUGUUUGAACAGAUGGUGUGCAGGCAGCACCUAUGACAGCCUCCGACCGGAUCCCAGGGUCCCAUUGUUGGCCACUCUGUGCAUAGAACGUGGAGGGCUUGAAGAUGUCACCUCUGCACUGCCUGUGUGUGACUGCUCUCCCAUCACGUGGAAACAUCUUGGAUUUACUUUACGUGUAUGAGUGUUUGCUUGCGUGCGUGUCUCUGUACCAUCUCAGGGCAGUGCCCUUGGACAGCAGAAGAGGGUGUCGGAUUCCCUGCCGCUGGACAUACAGGCCCGUGGGGAGCGGCCGCGUGGGCGCUGGGAACUGAAUCAGGGUCCUCGUAAGUGUAGCACGUGCUCUAACCACUGGGCCGUCCCUCCAGCUCCGUCCCGCCACUUACUUCGACCCACGUCACCCAAGAUUUGUGUAAAUCGUCCAGCAUGGCAGGCUCACUAAGAGCCUAAGCCACAGAGAGGACCCACUAGCAGUGUCACACAACAAAUAUGUCAGAAGGAGAUAGUCCCGGUAGUGUGCGGCGGAGUGAUGUCAUCGAGGGCCCCUGUGCUAUGCAUUUCAGGUCUCUCAGUCACUCCACAGUCAGGAGCCGCUGCUGCAGCCGCGGGCGCAGAAGAAAGUAUUGGCUGCACCUUAUGUGGUUGAUCGCCCCUUUGCCCAGCACUAUGAUGGGUUUUUCGUUUUCGUUUUUUUGUUGUUGUUGUUGCCAUUCAUUCAUUUGCUUGUUUUGAAAGUUCUAGGCAAGUCUUGGCCAUCCCAUGUCUGUCUUUUAUUAGGGGAAGGACAUAUUUCCUAGCGGUCUCAAAAUAUUCCCUCUAUGCCCUUUGUACCCAAGCUAGGUUAUGCCAGCCCAGUGGCUAGCAAAGGAGCAACUACUGCCCUCUCAAGACUUACCUAAGAGGGUAGGAAAAAGUUUCCUCCAGGCUCGCCCAACACUUAAAAUCAGAGCUCCAUCAGAAAUCGAGGAACCAAAGCACUUUAUUUGCAAGAGCGCUCAUGAGAUGAGUUAGAUUCCCUGACAUCUAAGCUAAGCCUUCCGGAUUAGAUCUUGGACACAUUAGUCACUUAUUUCUGUACUGACAGAUCCGUGUGCAGGUAAUAGCUCAGAGCUCCCAAGCAGGACACAGAACUUCCAGUGUGGGCAAUGGCUCCCAGGAUUCAGAGUUCUAGAGUUGGUGUCUUAAGACAGUAGAAGACUGCUACAGGGUCUUAAGCGGGAAAGUGAUAGGUUACAACGUAGUUUCCCAAGUCAUUCUGGCCUUAGAUGGGACACAAUAGUAACUCGCUACACUGUACCUCUUUAUGUCUUUUGGCCAUGGUCAAACAAGGUCAUGGCCCUUACCACCAGCCGUUGUUACAGAGUUGCUCUUGCACUGAGUAGUUCUCUGGGAACCCUGGUUACUUCUCAUGAGAAGGCUCCCAACACAACAGCACUAGCCCCUUACAGCCCAUUGGGUUUACUGUCUUGGUGUAUAAUCACUCCUGUCACUCUGGCUGGCAUACCACUAGCCAUGAUAGGCAGUCAGUGGGGCUCAAACUGAUGGGACCACCCAAGGUUGAAGCUUCAGCCUGCAGAAUUGUGAGUUAAAUAAGUCUCUUUUUACUUUCUAUAUUAUCUGGCCUCGGGCACUUUGUUGUGGCAAUGACAAACAUACAAGUCUAGCCCGAGUUCAUGACUCACAAGAUCAGGGACUGUAAUAAAACGAUGGUUGUUUCAA